UACGGAAGGGGCAAGCGUUGUUCGGAAUCAUUGGGCGUAAAGGGCGCGUAGGUGGUUCUGUAUGUCUACCGUGAAAGCAUACGGCUCAACUGUAUUUUGUCGGUAGAAACUGCAGGACUUGAGGCUGGGAGGGGCUGGUGGAAUUCCCUGUGUAGCGGUGAAGUGCGUAGAGAUGGGGGAGAACACUCGUGGCGAAGGCGGCCAGCUAGACCAGUUCUGACACUGAGGCGCGACAGCGUGGGGAGCAAACAGG
This 253-nucleotide ribosomal RNA is filed under the name uncultured bacterium. RNAcentral's name for it is "partial 16S ribosomal RNA". It matches the Rfam family "Bacterial small subunit ribosomal RNA", at positions 524 to 776 of the family's 1533-position model. The record is from RNAcentral.